Molecule: ribosomal RNA, 1136 nt
Filed under: Carnobacterium maltaromaticum
Lineage: Bacteria; Bacillati; Bacillota; Bacilli; Lactobacillales; Carnobacteriaceae
Description: bacterial SSU rRNA
Rfam family: Bacterial small subunit ribosomal RNA
Source: RNAcentral
UGAGAGGGUCAUCGGCCACACUGGGACUGAGACACGGCCCUGACUCCUACGGGAGGCAGCAGUAGGGAAUCUUCCGCAAUGGACGAAAGUCUGACGGAGCAACGCCGCGUGAGUGAAGAAGGUUUUCGGAUCGUAAAACUCUGUUGUUAAAGAAGAACAAGGAUGAGAGUAACUGCUCAUCACCUGACGGUAUUUAACCAGAAAGCCACGGCUAACUACGUGCCAGCAGCCGCGGUAAUACGUAGGUGGCAAGCGUUGUCCGGAUUUAUUGGGCGUAAAGCGAGCGCAGGCGGUUCUUUAAGUCUGAUGUGAAAGCCAUUGGCUCAACCGGGAAGGGUCAUUGGAAACUGGAGAACUUGAGUGCAGAAGAGGAGAGUGGAAUUCCACGUGUAGCGGUGAAAUGCGUAGAUAUGUGGAGGAACACCAGUGGCGAAGGCGACUCUCUGGUCUGUAACUGACGCUGAGGCUCGGAAGCGUGGGGAGCAAACAGGAUUAGAUACCCUGGUAGUCCACGCCGUAAACGAUGAGUGCUAAGUGUUGGAGGGUUUCCGCCCUUCAGUGCUGCAGCUAACGCAUUAAGCACUCCGCCUGGGGAGUACGGCCGCAAGGCUGAAACUCAAAGGAAUUGACGGGGACCGGCACAAGCGGUGGAGCAUGUGGUUUAAUUCGAAGUAACGCGAAGAACCUUACCAGGUCUUGACAUCCUUUGACCACUCUAGAGAUAGAGCUUUCCCUUCGGGGUCAAAGUGACAGGUGCAUCAUGGUUGUCGUCAGCUCGUGUCGUGAGAUGUUGGGUUAAGUCCCGCAACGAGCGCAACCCUUAUUACUAGUUGCCAGCAUUUAGUUGGGCACUCUAGUGAGACUGCCGGUGACAAACCGGAGGAAGGUGGGGAUGACGUCAAAUCAUCAUGCCCCUUAUGACCUGGGCUACACACGUGCUACAAUGGAUGGUACAACGAGUCGCAAGGUCGCGAGGCCAAGCUAAUCUCUUAAAGCCAUUCUCAGUUCGGAUUGUAGGCUGCAACUCGCCUACAUGAAGCCGGAAUCGCUAGUAAUCGCGGAUCAGAACGCCGCGGUGAAUACGUUCCCGGGUCUUGUACACACCGCACGUCACACCACGAGAGUUUGUAACACCC